AUUGAACGCUGGCGGCAUGCCUUACACAUGCAAGUCGAACGGUAACGGGCCUUCGGGUGCCGACGAGUGGCGAACGGGUGAGUAAUACAUCGGAACGUGCCCGAUCGUGGGGGAUAACGAGGCGAAGGCUUUGCUAAUACCGCAUACGAUCUACGGAUGAAAGCAGGGGACCGCAAGGCCUUGCGCGGACGGAGCGGCCGAUGGCAGAUUAGGUAGUUGGUGGGAUAAAAGCUUACCAAGCCGACGAUCUGUAGCUGGUCUGAGAGGAUGAUCAGCCACACUGGGACUGAGACACGGCCCAGACUCCUACGGGAGGCAGCAGUGGGGAAUUUUGGACAAUGGGCGCAAGCCUGAUCCAGCCAUGCCGCGUGCAGGAUGAAGGCCUUCGGGUUGUAAACUGCUUUUGUACGGAACGAAAAGCCUUCUUUUAAUACAGGAGGGUCAUGACGGUACCGUAAGAAUAAGCACCGGCUAACUACGCG
Molecule: ribosomal RNA, 482 nt
Filed under: uncultured bacterium
Lineage: Bacteria
Description: partial 16S ribosomal RNA
Rfam family: Bacterial small subunit ribosomal RNA
Source: RNAcentral